UCAGACGAUGCGUCAUGCAUAUCAAUAAGCGGAGGAAAAGAGACUAACAAGGAUUCCCUUAGUAACGGCGAGUGAAGCGGGAAGAGCUCAAAUUUGAAAUCUUCAAGGUUUUACCUUGACGAAUUGUAGUUUAAAGAAGUGUUUUCUGUUGAAGUUUUGGUAAAAGUUCUUUGGAAUAGGACAUCAUAGAGGGUGAGAAUCCCGUAUUUGACCAUUAUUUUCAGCUGUGUGAUACACUUUCAAAGAGUCGGAUUGUUUGGGAAUGCAGUCCAAAAUGGGUGGUAAAUUUCAUCUAAAGCUAAAUAUUGGCGAGAGACCGAUAGCGAACAAGUACCGUGAGGGAAAGAUGAAAAGAACUUUGAAAAGAGAGUUAAACAGUACGUGAAAUUGUCAAAAGGGAAGCGUUUGACACCAGUGUUGUUUUCUCGAAAAUCAAUUAAAAAGAGUUAGAUUUUGUUGUGUAUUGACCUUAACAGCUUGCAUUUCAAUUUUCUUGCUUUUUUUAAUGCACUUUUCGUUUAACAAGUCAACAUCAGUUUCUUUUGUUGUAAAAAGGUCAUUGGAAGGUGGCUUUCUUUUCGGAGAAAGUGUUUAUAGCCUUUGACUCCUGCAAUCGGAGAGACUGAGGUCUGCAGCGUAGAUCCUUCGGGGUUAGAUACAUUUGUGCUAAGUUAUAGCUUUUAUAGACAACUUGUUGACUAUGAUUAGUCUUGUAGCUUACUCGCUUAUGCUAUUUUACCUACGCUUAGGAUGUUGAGUCGUAGAGCACGCAG
This 773-nucleotide ribosomal RNA is filed under the name uncultured Neocallimastigales. RNAcentral's name for it is "partial large subunit ribosomal RNA". It matches the Rfam family "Eukaryotic large subunit ribosomal RNA", at positions 18 to 605 of the family's 3401-position model. The record is from RNAcentral. Lineage: Eukaryota; Fungi; Neocallimastigomycota; Neocallimastigomycetes; Neocallimastigales.